Molecule: ribosomal RNA, 1116 nt
Filed under: uncultured bacterium
Lineage: Bacteria
Description: bacterial SSU rRNA
Rfam family: Bacterial small subunit ribosomal RNA
Source: RNAcentral
AGUGGGGAAUAUUGCGCAAUGGGCGGAAGCCUGACGCAGCGACGCCGCGUGAGGGAUGACGGCCUUCGGGUUGUAAACCUCUUUCAGCAGGGACGAAUUUGACGGUACCUGUAGAAGAAGCACCGGCCAACUACGUGCCAGCAGCCGCGGUAAUACGUAGGGUGCGAGCGUUGUCCGGAAUUAUUGGGCGUAAAGAGCUCGUAGGCGGUCUGUCGCGUCGAAUGUGAAAACCCGGGGCUCAACUCCGGGCUUGCAUUCGAUACGGGCAGGCUAGAGUUCGGUAGGGGAGUCUGGAAUUCCUGGUGUAGCGGUGAAAUGCGCAGAUAUCAGGAGGAACACCGGUGGCGAAGGCGGGACUCUGGGCCGAUACUGACGCUGAGGAGCGAAAGCGUGGGGAGCGAACAAGAUUAGAUACCCUGGUAGUCCACGCCGUAAACGUUGGGCGCUAGGUGUGGGGGUCCUUCCACGACCUCCGUGCCGCAGCUAACGCAUUAAGCGCCCCGCCUGGGGAGUACGGCCGCAAGGCUAAAACUCAAAGGAAUUGACGGGGGCCCGCACAAGCGGCGGAGCAUGCGGAUUAAUUCGAUGCAACGCGAAGAACCUUACCAAGGCUUGACAUGCACGGGAAAGUUCCAGAGAUGGUUCCCCCGUAAGGUCCGUGCACAGGUGGUGCAUGGUUGUCGUCAGCUCGUGUCGUGAGAUGUUGGGUUAAGUCCCGCAACGAGCGCAACCCUUGUCUCAUGUUGCCAGCAAUUCGGUUGGGGACUCAUGAGAGACUGCCGGGGUCAACUCGGAGGAAGGUGGGGAUGACGUCAAAUCAUCAUGCCCCUUAUGUCUUGGGCUUCACGCAUGCUACAAUGGCCGGUACAAAGGGCUGCGAAACCGUGAGGUGGAGCGAAUCCCAAAAAGCCGGUCUCAGUUCGGAUUGGGGUCUGCAACUCGACCCCAUGAAGUCGGAGUCGCUAGUAAUCGCAGAUCAGCAACGCUGCGGUGAAUACGUUCCCGGGCCUUGUACACACCGCCCGUCACGUCACGAAAGUCGGUAACACCCGAAGCCAGUGGCUCAACCCCCUUGUGGGGAGGGAGCUGUCGAAGGUGGGAUCGGCGAUUGGGACG